UACGUAGGUGGCAAGCGUUGUCCGGAAUUAUUGGGCGUAAAGCGUGCGUAGUCGGUUAUGUAAGACAGGUGUGAAAUCCCCGGGCUUAACCUGGGAACUGCAUUUGUGACUGCAUAGCUAGAGUACGGUAGAGGGGGAUGGAAUUCCGCGUGUAGCAGUGAAAUGCGUAGAUAUGCGGAGGAACACCGAUGGCGAAGGCAAUCCCCUGGACCUGUACUGACGCUCAUGCACGAAAGCGUGGGGAGCAAACAGG
Molecule: ribosomal RNA, 253 nt
Filed under: uncultured bacterium
Lineage: Bacteria
Description: partial 16S ribosomal RNA
Rfam family: Bacterial small subunit ribosomal RNA
Source: RNAcentral